Molecule: long non-coding RNA, 6013 nt
Filed under: Eucalyptus grandis
Lineage: Eukaryota; Viridiplantae; Streptophyta; Magnoliopsida; Myrtales; Myrtaceae
Description: long non-coding RNA (EGRA_LNC003619)
Source: RNAcentral
AACAAUGGUCUUUUUCUUUUUUUGAAAUAUUCUCAGUAAAUUCUAUUAGAAUUGUCACAUUUAGGAAUCUCUCUUUCUUUUGAAUUUUAGGAAUAUUAAGUAUGCACUAUUUAUGGCAGUUACCUUGUUGCAAACACAAGCUCUUUUCUUGUUGUGCAGUGGAUAUAUGGCACCAGAGUAUGCGAUGCAUGGUUACCUCACUGACAAAGCCGACAUCUAUAGUUUUGGCAUUGUUGCCUUAGAAGUUGUUAGUGGCCGGAGCAACAGUAGUUCCCAAAAAAAUGAGGAAUGCUUUUAUCUACUUGAUUGGGUAAUCAACUCUAUCAUUUCAAUUAUGAUCGUAUCCAUAUUUAAAUCUCUACUUGUGCUGUUGGAAAAUGGAUUAAGGAAGCGUGAGCAUAGUAUGUAAUUCCUCACAUGCACUUUUAAUUGUUGCAAAGGAGUGUUACAGUUACCAGCUAUUGAAACCUGCUUAACGAAUUGUCGUGCUGUUAAGUGCAAUUUGUCAUUUCAAAUUAAUCUAAUUCUUCUUAUUAUGUUGGUCUACACUGAAUUUUCAUGUAGAUUCUUUUUUUGGAUUGAAGAAAAUUCUAUUCCUUGAAGUUUGGGGUAGUUCAGUUUUAGUCUUUAUGUUUUUAUGCUUGAUGUUCAUACUCCCUGUAGUUCCAUUGGUGCCAAACAAGUCCUUCGACUACUAUUCAAUUUUGGCAAUUACUCUUAUAUUAAAAAAAAAUUCAAGACCAUGUCUUGACUAGAAUAUCCAUAUACUUUCGAUUGAGGUAGAACUUUUUUCACAUUCAUAUAAUUUUGAGUCCUUUAGUUAUAUUUUGUUUUGCUUUGAGUAAGCAAUCAUUAGUAGUCCCCGUUAAAUUUGAUUGUCACCUGAGUUGCAUAAUCAAGUAUUUCUUGUUAAACUAGAAUUGAGAGUAGAAGGCAAUGGAUGGUGUAAAACAUUUCAUGUAAUGACACUGACAAAUAAUUCUUGCUAAUAAAACUCAAUAAAAGCUGGCGAUUUUAAAGCAGUAUUGGUAAGUUUUUGGCAACCGGUGAACCAUUAGUAAGUGAUGUUGGAGUUUACCAACUUUUAAUCAAAAUCGGUAAAGAAAUCAUGUUUGAUCUGUAUUUGACUCAUUUGAGAUGAAAAACUAGUGGGUGCUUAUCAACUGCCUUUGUCACGUAAUAAUCAAGAGACAUAAUAUACUUCCUUCUGUUGUAGUUUUUAGAGCAUAUUUUGCAACUGAUCAGUACCUGAAGCUUGAAAGGGAAAUAUUUUCACUUUUCAUUUCCGUUUCUAGGUACGAGUUUUGAAGGAGAGAGGAAAUUUGAUAGAAUUGGUUGAUCAAAGGCUCGGUUGUCACUUUGACAAAGAGGAGGCGCUAGUAUUGACAAAGGUAGCUCUGAUGUGUACUAAUGCGACUCCAGCACUCAGGCCGCCGAUGUCAUCUGUGGUUAGCAUGCUUGAAGGCAAGGUUGCUGUUCCGGUGCUGGACUCUGGAGGCGCUGUCAUGACUGAGGAGAAAAUUGAGGCCAUGAGGAAGCAUUUUAGAGGUGACAAACAUCAGGCAGUUGGUGAGAAUAUCACCAAGAGUAUGUCCAUUGAUGGGCCAUGGAUUGGAACCACUUCGUCCACAUCCAAUACUUCUGGAUACUGAAUACUUCUGGAUACUGAUUGCUGACAGAAGAAAGAUUUGUUUUGUUCUAAGUAAAAUAGUUCCCCAAAGAACUAGGACUUUAUGAAGUUGUUCUAAGUAAAAUAGUUCCCCAAAGAACUAGGGCUUUAGCUCUUGAAUUUCUCUCCGAAGUCUCUCUUUCGCUUACAUUUGAAACUGAAGGUAUAGAUAAUAUAAAGAAAACAACGUGUUAUGCAGAGCAGUAAUUGUGUAUUGUGAACUCAUUAGUAGGGAAAGCCUGAAGACAAUAGUUUGUGGUUUGGUAGUUGUAUUUGAGCCGUUUCUUUCCAUAUUGUUAUUCAAACAGAGACGAUGUUGCGACUUUUUAUCUCUUCACACAAUAACGAUGCAGAUGGUUGCCACUGCAAGGGAGGGAAUGUAUUAUGGAAGUUCUUCAUUUGUUUGAAUGGCGAGAUGUGCGAAGUGGCACAUUCUUGCUCUGGACAUGUUUUGUUCACUAGCUUGACCCGUUAUAUGUUGCUACUCUAAAAAAAAUUCUUAGCAAACGCAAAUUUUUUCUGUCUUUAGUAUGGAUGAUGGUUGGCCAACUUCGUCUUUCCCAUCUUUGAGAAAUGAGGAAAGAGAAACUUGAUACUUGCAUGUCUACACAAUAUAUAUAUAUAUAUUAUCUGGAAAAAUUUGCAUGUCCAGUCACUAUUUCUUCUCGGUGGAUUACUACCUCAUCAGCUUACUUAUUCCAUUCCAUCAGUGGUUCUGUAUUUAUGAGUCAAUGCCCAAAACGUUCUUAGAUUAAUGUCAAAACAAUCAAACAAGUUGAAACCGAAAUCGAAACCUCAAUGGGUUCAGCAGAUCAUCCUAAGAUUUGAGAGGUGGGGGCCUAGUGAAUAUUGAUGAAGUUGACAUCCCACGAUGAAAAUUGUAGUGUUCCGCGUCAGAGGCGGGUGAUUUGCUGCUGCCACUACAACUACAACCGAGCAAAGCAAAACAGCAGAUUUACUGCAACUUCGUAAAUCCUGAUUCCUGUACCAGCGGACCUCCACAGAAAAUGGAAACCAAAUCCUGUAUCCUAAGUAACUAACCGAAAAAGUACAAAAAAGAAGGUGUUUAUUAAGGAGAAUCCGAUAAGCGCCUGUAUCUUAGUGGACCGUGACCUCUAGGAGUUAUUUUUUUACCCUUUCUUGUCAAAUUAAUACAUAGACUUGAUAUAAGUGGAAAAGAGUUAAUGCCAAGAAAUUGGCAAAGCAUAGAAAUAGGAACGCUUUUUCUUCAAAAGAAAUGGCAAACCACAUCUAUUCACAUUGCCCUUUUCUUUUGUUUUUGUACGUAAGGUAUAUUCCUAAACUUCGGAGCUCAUCUACAAGUAGUUUUGUGGGCCCCUAGUGGGCCCACCUGAGGAAAUCCCAUAAACUCAUAAAUCCCGAUUCAAAGGAGGGGAGUUUUGAAUUCUCCACCUCCCCAUUCCUCUUGGGAAUGGUAGCCACUAGAGCAAGCCUCAAUGGUUCCUCUCUUUGGAUGAUGACAUGUACCUUCAAAAUCCAAAUAAAGUUAGAAAAUACUGAGAUUAAAAACAUUUAAAUUGAAUUGGGAUAUUAUAAAGGAGUAGAGAUUUUACAUACAUGUGGUUAUUGUUAGCCUAAAGAAAAAAAUGUGAACUUGAUAUUUUAAGACAGGUCAUUAGACCCUUGCUCUCGUAUUCAUAUGCUGGAAAUCAUAUCUUUCUUGUCUAAUGUGAUAAAUUUUCCUACAUCUUACUCAUUCGACAAUUGGAUGAAGAUACUCUACCUGAAUCACACGUAUUCUUAUCUGUGUCCGAAUCAAUUCUUAAUCACGUUAAUGCAUGUAGCGAUAUAUUUGCAGUUGGAAUAUGAAAAGACAUUCAUGGAAGUAUCAUGUAGGCAUGAAAGAUUGACAUUUUCUUUGAACACGAUAAAUCAUCCCAUCCAUGGGGAAGUUUCUGAUCUCAAGAAAAAAUGGGACAUGGAAAUUUCAAAAAAGCUAAUAAGCAGAAAUUUCUCCUCCUUAAGUGCGAAAGCAAAAGCANNNNNNNNNNNNNNNNNNNNNNNNNNNNNNNNNNNNNNNNNNNNNNNNNNNNNNNNNNNNNNNNNNNNNNNNNNNNNNNNNNNNNNNNNNNNNNNNNNNNCCUUGCGACAGAUUAAGCUGCCACAAACAAUUUUGACGCUGCCAAUAAGAUAGGAGAAGGUGGUUUUGGUUCUGUAUACAAGGUAUGCUGGAAAAUUGGCAAGCCAAAUUCCCUCAACUCCCAACAGAAAAGAUAUGUAGAAAGCAGCAUUCAAUGUAACUCAAUUUUCACAGCAUAGAUCUGAUGCCAAAGUUGAAUUGCAGGGUUUUCUGUCAGAUGGCACCACUAUAGCAGUGAAGCAGCUUUCAUCCAAAUCACAGCAGGGAAAUCGUGAGUUCCUGACCAAGAUUGGGACGAUUUCUUCUCUUCAGCAUCCACAUCUGGUGAAACUCUAUGGAUGCUGCAUUGAAGGAAAUCAACUUUUGCUGGUUUAUGAGUACAUGGAAAAUAACAGUCUUGCUCGCGCUUUAUUUGGUAAUUUGAUAUCACAUUGUGCUUCACUGACUUCAGUUAAUGACGUGGCAAUAAAGCAGUGUUGAUGUCUUCUGAUACAAUUGAAGGUCCUGAAGAAUUUCAGUUAAAGUUGGAUUGGCGGACAAGACACAAGAUACGUCUGGGUAUUGCCAGGGGCUUGGCAUAUCUUCAUGAAGAAUCAAGGCUGAAGAUUGUGCAUAGAGACAUUAAAGCUACUAAUAUUUUACUGGAUAAGGAUCUCAACCCUAAAAUAUCAGAUUUUGGUUUAGCAAAGCUUGAUGAGGAAGACAACACACAUAUUAGCACCAAGAUUGCUGGAACUUAGUAAGUUUCUUGCUUUAUGUUCCUGUUAACCUAAUUAGGAGUCAGUUACAACAUAAAACAAUGGAGUUGGAACAUAUAGUCUAACUUAAGAAAAGUGAGUUGAAUGGAGUUUUGUGAUCGAUUCACAUCAUCCCAAAGAAUGGAGCUCAACAGAUGUGGCUUAACCACAAAAGUUUAUGCCUGUCCUGCCACUCUUCAUGUCAAAAGAAUGUUAAGUAUGUCACAUAACCUACCAUUAAUAAUGUUACUCUGAUAUUGACUCAUGUAAUCUUUAAUUUGAAUAUAACUGAGUAUUAUAGGCAAUAGAGCUAAUUCACCCAUGUUUCUAUUUUAUACCCAAAGAAAAACAUAAAUAAGCAUGUUCACAUGUUUCAAAAUUUUGCAUUAACAUGUGUGAAAAGUCAACUUGUUUAUGAAAAGAAUGUGAUUAAUUAGGGAAAAGGAUAUAGCUGUAAGUUUGUUCUACUAACUCUAACAUUAAUUCAACAAAAAAGAACUAUAACAUUAAUUAAUUUCCGUUAUCUCAACAAACAUAGAUAAUCUAAUACAAAUUCUGGAAAGUUCGUAUCCUCUUACGGGAGAUUGAUUGAUAAUAUCCUACUGCUCCAUUUACUACAUUAAGAACAAUUCAAGAUAAAUAUUUCAUACAGUAAUUCAGUGUGCCCUACCUAAUGUGUUUACUCAGACAAAAAGCUUGUUUGUGAAACUAUUAUGAUACAAUUAUGAUGCAAUACAUUUUAACAACGCAUAUUGACACGUACUAUUAAGUGUUUUAAUAUGUUUCCCCUAUAACAAUCAACUUAAUGCAAAACAAUUUAAUGCACAUUAACUACUAUAUGUUAAAAUUUCAAUAUGAAUUAUCUAUAUAUACUCCUUUGUAUGAAAAGCACAAUUUUAGUAGAUAUGUCUCACAUGACAUUAACAUAGAGGAUGCACUUUCAAGUGAGUCACAAACAAAAUAAAACCAAAAUAUACAAAGCAAGCACGUGUGUCGCAAGGGUUAGAAAGCUAGCAAGGAAGUGAAAGGCUGUUUUUCUAUUGGUAUGGCAACAAUGAUGACAACAAAACUAAGAAGCUUUGCUGCCCCUAGGCUUGGCUUUACGAAUCCUCCUACGGUCGCUGCCCAUGUAUUCACAGAUCUGGCUCAGCGUGUUUCCCAAUCAUUUUUCAGUCGGAGUGCCUCUUUUCCAAGUUAUGAAAUCAUAUAUGAAGCCUGAUAAUUAUAUAAAACAACUAUGGUCUUUUUCUUUUUUUGAAAUAUUCUCAGUAAAUUCUAUUAGAAUUGUCAUAUUUAGGAAUCUCUCUUUCUUUUGAAUUUUAGGAAUAUUAAGUAUGCACUAUUUAAGGCAGUUACCUUGUUGCAAACACAAGCUUUUUUCUUGUUGUGCAGUGGAUAUAUGGCACCAGAGUAUGCGAUGCAUGGUUACCUCAUUGAUAAAGCCGACAUCUAUAGUUUUGGCAUCGUUGCCUUAGAAGUUGUUAGUGGCCGGAGCAACAGUAGUUC